Molecule: ribosomal RNA, 253 nt
Filed under: uncultured bacterium
Lineage: Bacteria
Description: partial 16S ribosomal RNA
Rfam family: Bacterial small subunit ribosomal RNA
Source: RNAcentral
UACGUAGGUGGCGAGCGUUGUCCGGAUUUACUGGGCGUAAAGAGCGCGCAGGCGGUCGUGCAAGUCGCGUGUGAAAGCCCCCGGCUCAACUGGGGAGGGUCACGCGAUACUGCUCGACUCGAAGGCAGGAGAGGGAAGUGGAAUUCCCGGUGUAGUGGUGAAAUGCGUAGAUAUCGGGAGGAACACCAGUGGCGAAGGCGGCGUCCUGGACCAACACUGACACUGAGGAGCGAAAGCCAGGGGAGCAAACGGG